CGUAGCAUUUUGAAGUAGUAUUCAAAUGAGUAAAGGGUGAAAGAGGGUUGGGAAAGACGAGAAGAAGUUAGAAAACCCAAAAGCCCUUUCCCUGAAAUCACCUGAACUCCUAGAAGCUGUAUCCGCCCGUUUUCUAUACGGAAACUCUCGGAGAUUACAAAGACAUUGUCUUCAUCCACCUCCAUCAACUAUCUUCAGACAGAUUGAUUGUAGUUGUAGACAGUCUUGCGAAGGAAUUUCUCUCUCAGCUGCUUCAGGACUUGCAAAAUGUCUACUGGCCUUGGACUUGAGUCUCUUGUAGAUC
Hevea brasiliensis (rubber tree) is the source of this 304-nucleotide long non-coding RNA. RefSeq lists it as uncharacterized. The record is from RefSeq and is a predicted model, not a curated record. NCBI's taxonomy places the organism in Eukaryota, Viridiplantae, Streptophyta, Magnoliopsida, Malpighiales, Euphorbiaceae. The transcript has 2 exons.